CGUGAACCCCGGAGCCGGCGGCGCUGGGGCCAGAGGGGCCGGGAGCCCCAGGGAGGCGGAUCUGGGCCCCGAGAAGGACACCCGCCUGGAUUUGCCCCGUAGGCCCGGCCCGGGCCCCUCGGGAGCAGAACAGCCUUGGUGAGGUGGACAGGAGGGGACCUCGCGAGCAGACGCGCGCGCCAGCGACAGCAGCCCGCCCCGGCCUCUCGGGAGCCGUGGGGCAGAGGCUGCGGAGCCCCAGGAGGGUCUAUCAGCCACAGUCUCUGCAUGUUUCCAAGAGCAGCAGAAAAUGAACACAUUGCAGGGGCCAGUGUCAUUCAAAGAUGUGGCUGUGGAUUUCACCCAGGAGGAGUGGCGGCAACUGGACCCUGAUGAGAAGAUAACAUACGGGGAUGUGAUGUUGGAGAACUACAGCCAUCUAGUUUCCUUGGAUAUGAUAUCACCAAGCCAAACGUCAUCAUUAAGUUGGAGCAGGGAGAGGAGCUGUGGAUAACGGGAGGUGAAUUUCCAUGUCAACAUAGUC
Molecule: long non-coding RNA, 523 nt
Filed under: Homo sapiens (human)
Lineage: Eukaryota; Metazoa; Chordata; Mammalia; Primates; Hominidae
Description: non-protein coding lnc-HIP1-2:1
Source: RNAcentral